RNAcentral lists this ribosomal RNA (722 nucleotides) under uncultured Fusobacterium sp. RNAcentral describes it as "bacterial SSU rRNA". It matches the Rfam family "Bacterial small subunit ribosomal RNA", at positions 28 to 776 of the family's 1533-position model. Lineage: Bacteria; Fusobacteriati; Fusobacteriota; Fusobacteriia; Fusobacteriales; Fusobacteriaceae. The record is from RNAcentral.
GAUGAACGCUGACAGAAUGCUUAACACAUGCAAGUCAACUUGAACUUCAGUUUGGGUGGCGGACGGGUGAGUAACGCGUAAAGAACUUGCCUCACAGAUAGGGACAACAUUUGGAAACGAAUGCUAAUACCUGAUAUUAUGAUUUUAGGGCAUCCUAGAAUUAUGAAAGCUAUAUGCACUGUGAGAGAGCUUUGCGUCCCAUUAGCUAGUUGGAGAGGUAACGGCUCACCAAGGCGAUGAUGGGUAGCCGGCCUGAGAGGGUGAUCGGCCACAAGGGGACUGAGACACGGCCCUUACUCCUACGGGAGGCAGCAGUGGGGAAUAUUGGACAAUGGACCAAGAGUCUGAUCCAGCAAUUCUGUGUGCACGAUGAAGUUUUUCGGAAUGUAAAGUGCUUUCAGUUGGGAAGAAAAAAAUGACGGUACCAACAGAAGAAGUGACGGCUAAAUACGUGCCAGCAGCCGCGGUAAUACGUAUGUCACAAGCGUUAUCCGGAUUUAUUGGGCGUAAAGCGCGUCUAGGUGGUUAUGUAAGUCUGAUGUGAAAAUGCAGGGCUCAACUCUGUAUUGCGUUGGAAACUGUGUAACUAGAGUACUGGAGAGGUAAGCGGAACUACAAGUGUAGAGGUGAAAUUCGUAGAUAUUUGUAGGAAUGCCGAUGGGGAAGCCAGCUUACUGGACAGAUACUGACGCUGAAGCGCGAAAGCGUGGGUAGCAAACAGG